AGGACGAACGCUGGCGGCGUGCUUAACACAUGCAAGUCGAGCGGAAAGGCCACUUCGGUGGUACUCGAGCGGCGAACGGGUGAGUAACACGUGAGUAAUCUGCCCUCCACUUUGGGAUAGCCACCGGAAACGGUGAUUAAUACCGGAUAUGACCUUGGCCCGCAUGGGUUGUGGUGGAAAGUUUUUCGGUGGGGGAUGUGCUCGCGGCCUAUCAGCUUGAUGGUGGGUAAUGGCCUACCAUGGCUUCGACGGGUAGCCGGCCUGAGAGGGUGACCGGCCACACUGGGACUGAGACACGGCCCAGACUCCUACGGGAGGCAGCAGUGGGGAAUAGUUGGACAAUGGGCGGAAGCCUGAUCCAGCAACGCGCGUGAGGGAUGACGGCCUUCGGGUUAGUAACCUCUUUCAGCACAGACGAAGACGAAGUGACGGUAUCGUGAGAGAAGAAGACGACCGGACCAAACUACGUGACCAAGCGACG
RNAcentral lists this ribosomal RNA (481 nucleotides) under uncultured soil bacterium. RNAcentral's name for it is "bacterial SSU rRNA". It matches the Rfam family "Bacterial small subunit ribosomal RNA", at positions 26 to 516 of the family's 1533-position model. The record is from RNAcentral.